CACGUAGGGCGCAAGCGUUGUCCGGAAUUACUGGGCGUAAAGGGCGCGUAGGCGGCCGUUUGCGUCGGAUGUGAAAGCCCGGGGCUCAACCUCGGAACGGCAUUCGAUACGGGACGGCUGGAGACCGGGAGAGGAGAGUGGAAUAGCCAGUGUAGAGGUGAAAUUCGUAGAUAUUGGCUGGAACACCGGUGGCGAAAGCGGCUCUCUGGCCCGGUUCUGACGCUGAGGCGCGAAAGCGUGGGGAGCAAACAGG
This 253-nucleotide ribosomal RNA is filed under the name uncultured bacterium. RNAcentral's name for it is "partial 16S ribosomal RNA". It matches the Rfam family "Bacterial small subunit ribosomal RNA", at positions 524 to 776 of the family's 1533-position model. The record is from RNAcentral.